GAGUAAAAAUUACUGCUUACUGUUUUCUUCCGCUACGGAAACCAAACCCAGUUUCCAGAGAGGAGGAGACAUGGAGGUUUGAAGUUAAGGGCCAAAACCUCGCUUUUUGUGCUCACCGCCGCCGGACUCGCCUCCUACGGCUCCUCCAACUCUGCCAAUACAACCAAUUUUCCCCUUAGCUUCUUAAACGGCUUCGUUCGCUCCUCCCCUCUUUACCAUCACCUGUUGCGUGCUUUACUACAAGUACUCAUUGCACGGUUUACCAGCUGAUUCCGACGAGUAUGGAUACACACUAUCUCAGGUCUUUAAAUCUACCGCUAUUUUAGGCGAAUGUUUAGCCCUGUUUCUUGAUUUUCAUCCUAUAUUUUUAUUUUACUUUCAAGUUAACUCCGUUUGAUCAUGUGAUGCUAAUAGUUCAGUAUAAAAUUUUGCUAUUAUCAUCUAGCCAUGGGGUUUAAGUUGCAGUGAUAUCAACUCGUGUUGCCAAUCAAUAUCCGUAGAGCAUGAAAAUGUUGAGAGGGAUUUCUCUGAAGCAUUCCAAUGCAACUCUAAUCUAUCAUCUUCCAUUUACCCGUCUUUACUUUUGGCAAUACUGUGCUGUUCCUGUCAUAUUUACAUCCCGUGCUGAAUUCAAUGUUAUAUACCGGCAGUCAUGUCAUGUUCCUCGUCAUUAAGUAUACUUCGUGGCGCUAUUUCUGCUCUUGGUAGUUCCCCUAUUACUGUUGUCCGAUGUUUUCUGCUUCCUGGUUUUGUAUCUGUUUUUUUCCAAUGAAAAUGAUGGUGGAAAAAAUAAAUAAUUAGAGUGUAUCUGCAUAGUUUUUAAUGUUUUAAAUUUAAUUUCAUCAUUGUUAUCAUUUGCAUUGAGGAAAGUUUCUUGUGUUUGAUUAAUGUUUUGUGGCAAUUUAAAGAUCCAUCUAAGAUCAGCUAGAAGGAUCCAAAACUUAUGUGACACCAACAAAGGUUUCUAUGUAAAGGCUGGCCAGUUUGUUGCUGCAGCACGACAAGUUCCUAGAGAAUAUUCGUCUACACUUUCAUCUUUACAAGAUCAGGCAGUUCCAUGUAAUUUUGAAGAUGUCUAGGAAGUUAUAGUAAAGAGUCUGGGGAAGGACAUGUCAGAGAUAAUUUGGUGGCAAAAUGAGCCAGUUCUCUGGGCAGUGUGGUCUAAAACAUUAGUUACUGCAUUUUCUAGUUGUUCCCGGAGUACAGGUUCUAGUGGAUGGUAUCAGAAUUUACAAAGUCUAUUGCGUCUGAACUUGAUUUCAUUCAAGAGGCUAAAAACUCAGAGAGCAGCAAAUAAUUUUAAAAGCAACAAGCUGGCCAAGUUCCCUUAUGUUUAUUGGGAUUUCGCAUGCAAGAAGGUGUUGACAAUGGAAUUUUGUGAAGGACAUAAGAUUGAUGAUUUGGAAUAUUUGAAGCGAAUGGGAAUCAAUCCACUUGAGGUAGCCAAAACCCUCAUAGAUGUCUUUGCUGAGAUGAUAUUUGUUCAUGGUUUCCUCCAUGGGGACCCGCAUCCUGGAAACAUAUUAGUUUCUCCAGAUAGGCACAAUGGCUUUUCUUUGGUCAUUCUGGAUCAUGGGAUCUAUAAACAGUUACCUGAAGAAUUCAGAAAGAGCUAUUGCCAUCUCUGGGAGGCCUUAAUUAGACUUGAUUCACAAAAAAUACAGCAUCUGGGUGAAACCUUUGGUGUUGGGAAGUAUGCCAGAUAUUUUCCUGUUAUAUUUACUGGAAGAACCAUUAAUAGGUACUCUCUAUGGCUUCCUCCUUUCAUUUGUUUUUUUCUGCCAGGGAUGAGAGUUCUGCUUCUAAGUUAUUGUCACCAUUUCCUCUUUGCAUUGGAUGAUGGAUUUAUCCUUACAUACCUAAAUGCUCAUGUUCUGAACUAAUUGAAAUAAGUUGAAACUGUCUUUUUAUGGCUUUCUUGCUUUUGCUUCCAAUGCUAAGUGCACUGAUUAUAUGUGGAUGUAAUGCUGAUUCUGUUUAAAUAACUGAAGUAAAUCAGUUCUUGGGAGAGGAAUGUCGCCUGAAGAGAAGGAACAUUUAAGGGACAAAGUGAAAUCUUUAAAAAUGGAGUACAUCAAUUAGAUCAAUUGGGUGAACUAAUAUUCCGGUUGGAUAUUUGACAGCUUAUUUUGAUUGCGACCUUCAUUUUGUCUCUCAUUCAUCGACAAUAAAUGACAUCUGAUGGCAUCUAGUUAUAAGACCUAGAAGGAUAUUUGUGUACUUGAUUAUGAAAGUUGCAAUUUUUUAAAACUCAAGUCCAAAGAUGCUGAUACUGCAACAAUGUUUAUGAGCUCUUCUGCACUUGAUUCAAUCAUUAUAUAUCUUGUAACUCGUGGUGAAUGAGUAAGUUUGAGAUUGUGCAGUGUACGUUGCAUCCAGAUUGAAGACGAGUAUCAGAUACAUUCAGCUGAGGGUAAUUCUGGGUAUUAUGGAGUUCAUAAGCUACGUGGAUGAAAGAGGACGCUCGUUGGCUACAAAACUGAGGCGGUUGAUGUAUCAAAUAUGGAGUUUAGCUCCCAUUCCCUUGUCAAAUUGAGAGGUGACUGUAAUUUAUCACAUUCCUUAUAGAAUUUGUAGCAUCGAAUGAUGUUGGUGGUGGUGGUGAUUAUGGGUAGAUGCUAAAUCUUGUUGGACGCCAAUUUUGGUUCAUAAUAUUUUUGGGCAAAAAGUGGGGAAACAUCAAUUCAUUAUGAUUUACUAGUAA
Salvia splendens (bonfire salvia) is the source of this 2704-nucleotide RNA transcript. It is a transcript of the gene named aarF domain-containing protein kinase 1, with no coding region annotated. The transcript is spliced from 10 exons. The record is from RefSeq and is a predicted model, not a curated record. NCBI's taxonomy places the organism in Eukaryota, Viridiplantae, Streptophyta, Magnoliopsida, Lamiales, Lamiaceae.